CCUACGGGAGGCAGCAGUGAGGAAUAUUGGUCAAUGGACGAGAGUCUGAACCAGCCAAGUAGCGUGAAGGAUGACUGCCCUAUGGGUUGUAAACUUCUUUUAUAUGGGAAUAAAAUGUUCCACGUGUGGGAUUUUGUAUGUACCAUAUGAAUAAGGAUCGGCUAACUCCGUGCCAGCAGCCGCGGUAAUACGGAGGAUCCGAUCGUUAUCCGGAUUUAUUGGGGUUAAAGGGAGCGUAGGUGGAUUGGUAAGUCAGGUGGGAAAGUUUGCGGCUCAACCGUAAAAUUGCAGUUGAAACUUGCAGUCUUGAGGACAGUAGAGGUGGGCGGAAGUCGUGGUGUAGCGGUGAAAUGCUUAGAUAUCACGAAGAACUCCGAUUGCGAAGGCAGUUCACUGGACUGCAACUGACGCUGAGGCUCGAAAGUGUGGGUAUCAAACAGGAUUAGAUACCCCAGUAGUC
This 460-nucleotide ribosomal RNA is filed under the name uncultured bacterium. RNAcentral's name for it is "partial 16S ribosomal RNA". It matches the Rfam family "Bacterial small subunit ribosomal RNA", at positions 338 to 795 of the family's 1533-position model. The record is from RNAcentral.